GACGAACGCUGGCGGCGUGCCUAAUACAUGCAAGUCGAGCGAAGUGGAGAGAGCUUGCUCUCGAAGCUUAGCGGCGAACGGGUGAGUAACACGUGGGCAACCUGCCCGAUAGACCGGGAUAACUUGGGGAAACACAAGCUAAUACCGGAUAGGAUCAUUAACCGCCUGGUUGGUGAUGGAAAGUCUGAACGACACUAUCGGAUGGGCCCGCGGCGCAUUAGCUAGUUGGUGGGGUAACGGCCUACCAAGGCGACGAUGCGUAGCCGACCUGAGAGGGUGACCGGCCACACUGGGACUGAGACACGGCCCAGACUCCUACGGGAGGCAGCAGUAGGGAAUCUUCCACAACGGGCGAAAGCCUGAUGGAGCAACGCCGCGUGAGUGAUGAAGGUUUUCGGAUCGUAAAACUCUGUUGUUAGGGAAGAACACCCGGGAGAGGAUCCCGGUUUGACGGUACCUGACGAGAAAGCCCCGACUAACUACGUGCCAGCCGCCGCGGUAA
This 502-nucleotide ribosomal RNA is filed under the name uncultured bacterium. Its description in RNAcentral is "partial 16S ribosomal RNA". It matches the Rfam family "Bacterial small subunit ribosomal RNA", at positions 28 to 523 of the family's 1533-position model. The record is from RNAcentral.